GGUAAUCGACAAUACUUGCAACACAAAAAUAGAGAGGAGAAGAAUAGAUGAGAAGAGAAGAUUCGACACAAAAAGAAGAAGAAAGAGGAAACAGGAUCUGGUAGAGAGGAUACAAAAACUAUUCGGCCACCCCAAUCAAAAAGAAAAAGAAAGAAAAGGUAGGAAAAAGGUAGAUGGACAAACCCGAGAAGUUUCCAAGGUACUUUUCAGAAAUCGGCACAAAGAAAACAAAAUAGAGAAAGAAAAAUUAAAUAAAACCGAAGCAAAUAGAGUAAAGAAAGACCCCCAAACCGAUUACCCUUCGUACUAAAGAGCAAAUUCGGCACAAAAUCCCUUCC
RNAcentral lists this long non-coding RNA (338 nucleotides) under Gossypium raimondii (Peruvian cotton). RNAcentral describes it as "long non-coding RNA (GRAI_LNC009346)". Lineage: Eukaryota; Viridiplantae; Streptophyta; Magnoliopsida; Malvales; Malvaceae. The record is from RNAcentral.